This 253-nucleotide ribosomal RNA is filed under the name uncultured bacterium. Its description in RNAcentral is "partial 16S ribosomal RNA". It matches the Rfam family "Bacterial small subunit ribosomal RNA", at positions 524 to 776 of the family's 1533-position model. The record is from RNAcentral.
UACGUAGGGUGCAAGCGUUGUCCGGAAUUAUUGGGCGUAAAGAGCCCGUAGGCGGUUUGUCGCGUCGUCUGUGAAACCUCGAGGCUUAACCUCGAGCCUGCAUUCGAUACUGGGCGGCUAGAGUCUGGUAGGGGGAUCUGGAAUUCCUGGUGUAGCGGUGGAAUGCGCAGAUAUCAGGAGGAACACCGGUGGCGAAGGCGGGAUCCUGGGCCAGUACUGACGCUGAGGAGCGAAAGCGUGGGGAGCAAACAGG